CCUACGGGAGGCAGCAGUGGGGAAUAUUGCACAAUGGGCGCAAGCCUGAUGCAGCCAUGCCGCGUGUAUGAAGAAGGCCUUCGGGUUGUAAAGUACUUUCAGUCGGGAGGAAGGUGGUAAGGUUAAUAACCUUAUCAAUUACGUUACCGCAGAAGAAGCACCGGCUAACUCCGUGCCAGCA
This 181-nucleotide ribosomal RNA is filed under the name uncultured bacterium. RNAcentral's name for it is "partial 16S ribosomal RNA". It matches the Rfam family "Bacterial small subunit ribosomal RNA", at positions 338 to 513 of the family's 1533-position model. The record is from RNAcentral.